Molecule: ribosomal RNA, 253 nt
Filed under: uncultured bacterium
Lineage: Bacteria
Description: partial 16S ribosomal RNA
Rfam family: Bacterial small subunit ribosomal RNA
Source: RNAcentral
GACAUAGGGUGCAAGCGUUGUCCGGAUUUAUUGGGCGUAAAGAGCUCGUAGGCGGCUUGUUGCGUCGACUGUGAAAACCCGCGGCUUAACCGCGGGCUUGCAGUUGAUACAGCACGUCUCGAGUCCGGAAGAGGUGGGUGGAAUUCCUAGUGUAGAGGUGAAAUUCGUAGAUAUUAGGAAGAACACCGGUGGCGAAGGCGGCCCACUGGUCCGGUACUGACGCUGAGGUGCGAAAGCGUGGGGAGCAAACAGG